UUGUCCUGGCAACUCUUAUACCAAGACUCAGUGAACAGAAGUGUUUGGAUUUCUUCUCCUGGUGAUAGGCAACAGAUGUCACUUGCUUGACACUCUUUGAAAUAAUUUUCUGCCUUGAAACUGAAAACUGAAAGGAUCUCUUGCCUAUGCUACCUCCAUUGCCAAAUUUUCUCAGUUCCCCAGGUUGUGACAACCUAAAAUAUCUCCAGAUGUUGCCAACUGUUCCCUAGGAAGCAAAUUCCUCCCAUUUGCGAACGCUUGGCUUAGAGUUUCCUAAGACCUGGUGAUUAUUCUCUCCUGGUCACGGCCAGACUGGACUCAGUCUGUGCAAGGCUGGGUUCUCUUCAUCUACUUUAAUGAAAAUGACCCGUCACAACUGAUGAAACGUAGAGGCAGACAUUGGGAAUCGAGCUAAUUCUGUUAAAGCAGACAAUAAAGAGCUUUGCAAAAAUGUAAAACAAUGUAACUCUUCCCACCAAGUUAUUUCAUUUGGAAAAAUAGUUAUUUUUCAUGAAAAUAUGUUAUACAAACAUAUAAUGGAUUUCCUAUCAUUAUUUUUAAAUGAAUUAGUUUAUAAAUAUUUAAGAGUGUUUUCAGUUUUAAUUUCUAGUAUGGCAAAUAUUGACAGGCAUAAUCUACAUAAACAAAUACUCUUAGGGGUUCUCAAUUUUUAAGAGUAUAAGGGAUCUUGAGACCAAAACUUUUUAGAACCGCUACUUUAUUGCACUUCAGCUCUGGUUCCUAUCCCAAAACUGCCACACAAAUGUGUGAAGUUGCUCAAGCAUUGACUGAAUUCCAGGUACUUUGUUAAAGUGUUUUACAUGGAGUUUAAUUAUUGUUGAUCCUGGGAGGUAGGUAUAAUUAUUAUUCACAUUCACAGUCAAAGAAACCGACGUUUAGAUACUCGCCCAGCACCACACAGUUAGAAAGUGGUAAAGUAGAAAUUUAAAUUUAGGUAUCUGACUCCAGAAAUCUCACUCUUAUCAGCUUUACAACCCAACCCAGCUGAAAAAAAAAACAAAAUUAAAAACCCCAGAAAAAUAAAUUCCUUUUCACAAACAUACUCUAAUUCCUUAGGGAGCGGUGGGUGUUGGAGCUUCAUUUUACAAACUUUAUUGUUGUUUUGGUUAGAAUCCUUUCUCUGCUCCGUCAGUCCACCUUGAGGAGCAGAAGCUCCCCUGACCCGGGGCUGCAGCUCCGGCCUUGUCAUGAAGAUCCCCCAGGUUGUGCUCCUUAGUCCUUAAUUCACAGGCAUCCAUCAGCGGUGCUCCACAAUUUCCUGGAGGCCUUCUUCUGUGCUGCUCUCUCCGUACAGUCUUCGAGUCUCUUCGAAAUGUGUAUUUCUCAGUUCUCCAGGGGAUCCAAGGUUAUCAUCAGUCCACGGCUCAGCCUGAAUAAGCACCUGGAGUCCAUGACUGGAUCGAGUGUGCAUUUGGCAGUAAAGCCAGGCUGGGAGUGGGCUCAUGAUGCUGUACAUCUCACAGCCCAGAAACUCAGGCAGGAGGUGCUCUCCUCUGGGCGUUUCAGAGCCCACGGUCACACUCACGUGGGCGCGUGAACAGGAGUCCCUGUGUCAUGCGAUAACCGAUCCCCUUCUCACAACUGUUUUAAGUUGCGAACAUAAAGUCUGAGAUGCCUUCACUGGGGGCUCGGUUUGUGUGAAAGCAAUCGGCGUUUCAAGACAAGGCACCUGGAAAAUUUUCUCAUAAUAGGAAUACUGUAAAUAUUUAUUUAAGCUUCCUCCACCCUCCACUGUCAUUUCAGAAGCAAGAAAAUUCAAGAGGCCAGAUUUUUAUACAUGAUAUUCGUAAAGUAUACUACGGACACUGGAAGUGUAAACAUGUCUGCUCUGCAAUUUAGCUCUCAGUAGAAAUUACUUCUUUGUGACUGAGAUGGUAUUUCAGAUUAGAGAUGGAGAGUUAUGGCAUUUACCUACUUUGCCCAAAGUCACACAGUUAGCAAAUGAUUUUGGAAUCAGACAGAACUUGGUUUAAACCUCAACCCUGAUUAGUAGUUUUUUGUGCAAUUGCCGCAUGUUGCCCAACGUCUCUAAGGCUCUAUUUCUCCGUCUGUAAUAUGAGGAUGGUUCUUAUGAUGAUUCAUUGAAAUAAGGAACAUCCAGUUCUCAGCAGAGUGUCUGGGACAUAACAGGGGCUCAGUAAAUUCAGCUGUAAUGAUAAUUAUAUGGUUACCUAGAUUAUCGUUUUACAGCUCUUAUCUGUUCUUGUGACCAUUCCUUUACUUAAUGGCACCAAUGGACAGUGAGCUGCAUUGAGUCAACACCUAGCACAAUACUUGAUAUUUGGGGUAUUGAAUAAGUGCAUGAGUGAAUGAAUGAAUGAACAAUGAGAUCAUGCCACAGGAGAUUUUCAUUGACCAGUAUAUUUCUAAGUUGAAAUGCUGGGAAAACUCAGUGAAAAUACUUGAGGCUCAGCAGUGACUACUGAGUGCAAACAGUGAUGAAGAUGGUUGAAGAAGGUCCUUGGGUAGGAAGGAAGCCGGAGGGCGGAGUCUGUGACCCAUGCGGUCACCUGGACACAAGAGAGAGACUGAUGGCAAACCCUUGCUGGAGGUCUAUUAAAAAAGGCCUAUAUGAAGGAAAUUUUUAUUUUUUUAUCUUUUUGGUGAGGAAGAUUAGCCAUGAGCAAACAUCC
Molecule: non-coding RNA, 2654 nt
Organism: Equus caballus (horse)
Lineage: Eukaryota; Metazoa; Chordata; Mammalia; Perissodactyla; Equidae
Source: RefSeq, a predicted model, not a curated record